GACGAACGCUGGCGGCGUGCUUAACACAUGCAAGUCGAACGGAAAGGCCCUGCUUUUGUGGGGUGCUCGAGUGGCGAACGGGUGAGUAACACGUGAGUAACCUGCCCUUGACUUUGGGAUAACUUAAGGAAACUGGGGCUAAUAACGGAUAGGAGCUCCUGCUGCAUGGUGGGGGUUGGUAAGAUUCGGCGUUUGGGGAUGGACUCGCGGCUUAUCAGCUUGUUGGUGGGGUAGUGGCUUACCAAGGCUUGGACGGGUAGCCGGGCUGAGAGGGUGACCGGCCACAUUGGGACUGAGAUACGGCCCAGACUCCUACGGGAGGCAGCGGUGAGGAAUAUUGCACAAUGGGCGGAAGCCUGAUGCAGCAACGCCGCGUGCGGGAUGACGGCCUUCGGGUUGUAGACCGCUUUCGCCUGUGACGAAGCGUGAGUGACGGUAAUGGGUAAAGAAGCACCGGCUAACUACGUG
RNAcentral lists this ribosomal RNA (468 nucleotides) under uncultured bacterium. Its description in RNAcentral is "partial 16S ribosomal RNA". It matches the Rfam family "Bacterial small subunit ribosomal RNA", at positions 28 to 507 of the family's 1533-position model. The record is from RNAcentral.